RNAcentral lists this ribosomal RNA (508 nucleotides) under uncultured bacterium. RNAcentral describes it as "bacterial SSU rRNA". It matches the Rfam family "Bacterial small subunit ribosomal RNA", at positions 8 to 514 of the family's 1533-position model. The record is from RNAcentral.
AGAGUUUGAUCCUGGCUCAGAUUGAACGCUGGCGGCAUGCCUUACACAUGCAAGUCGAACGGUAACGCGGGGCAACCUGGCGACGAGUGGCGAACGGGUGAGUAAAGCAUCGGAACGUGCCCAGUAGUGGGGGAUAGCCCGGCGAAAGCCGGAUUAAUACCGCAUACGACCCAAGGGUGAAAGCGGGGGAUCGCAAGACCUCGCGCUAUUGGAGCGGCCGAUGUCAGAUUAGGUAGUUGGUGGGGUAAAGGCCUACCAAGCCGACGAUCUGGAGCUGGUCUGAGAGGACGACCAGCCACACUGGGACUGAGACUCGGACCAGACUCCUACGGGAGGCAGCAGUGGGGAAUUUUGGACAAUGGGCGCAAGCCUGAUACAGCCAUGCCGCGUGCGAGAAGAAGGCCUUCGGGUUGUAAACCGCUUCCCUUUGGUAGAAAUCCACUGAGCUAAUACCUCGGGGGGAUGACCGCACCUGAAGAACAUGCACCCGCUCACUACGUGACAUCAG